Molecule: long non-coding RNA, 259 nt
Organism: Alnus glutinosa
Lineage: Eukaryota; Viridiplantae; Streptophyta; Magnoliopsida; Fagales; Betulaceae
Exons: 3
Source: RefSeq, a predicted model, not a curated record
CAAUGGGUGUACGUGAAGACAAGCAGCCAAUCAAUGAUGGGUGCGAUCGCAAGCAGCCAAUGAAACCAGAAAACUUGCGCGAUCGGCUCUCCCGUGAGCUUGAGCGUAAUUUGGCUAUGAGAGUUGAUGAUGGAGAAACAGCGUAUACAUUCGUUGUUAGUGGUCGUGGUACUUUACAUAUCACCAUGCAUACUGAUAGAAAACAUGCGAGUUAUUAACAAAAAGGUGGAUGACAAGCUGCUGGAACCGUAUGAUCGAG